This is a long non-coding RNA of Columba livia (rock pigeon), 2260 nucleotides long. RefSeq lists it as uncharacterized. The transcript has 6 exons. The record is from RefSeq and is a predicted model, not a curated record. NCBI's taxonomy places the organism in Eukaryota, Metazoa, Chordata, Aves, Columbiformes, Columbidae.
GGCAUUAUCUCUUUAGCAGGCAGGCCUCUCUCCCCCUGUACUGUAUUUUUCCAUUGUGUUGAAUCAAACUUUAUCUUCAACUCUGCUUGCCCAUUCUAAUAAUAACGAGGUGGCGUUCAAAGCGUGACUUCGCAAGUGAUUCAUUUCCUCAAUACCGCUGAUUGGGACUUUGCACCACUUCAAAGGUGAAUUCCUAAGCCAUCUGCAGAAAAUUUUCCCUUCAUGGCCAGGAACAUGUGGCCCAAGGGUUGGUGGGGAAGCUCGAGCUUUGCAAUCACAACGACCAUUCCACAAAGAGAUGAAGACACCUGGACAAGAAAAGCUGUGGACCCAACUGCUCAUGGAGGACUAAUAGUGAGGAUCCACCAGACCAAGGGCUGGAGCAACAUCUGUUUCCCAGGACCUCAUUUGGGCAUCUCUGCUCAGUUUCCCUCCUCCGUGACCACCAAGGGGGGUUGCACCCAUUCGCUCUUGUCUUCAUAAAGCCUGUACCCCAGGCAGUCAUCACAAGGGAGAGAUUGCUCUGCAUAAGAACGGGAAUGGCUUCAUCCUAGACAUCAUGUUUACUUAGUGCUUCAAGUCGGGGCAUCGGCUUUGAAACCUCUGGCUAUGAAUUUUGAGCUGGAGUAACCCACAGGCAGAAAACUCACCCAUCCUGAGGGUCAUGGAAUGGGCAAAGUGAUGACUCAGGAGAAGAAAAACCAGCGUCUCACUGUUAAAAUGUGCUAAGGAAGAUGACCCCGCUGGAAGGGGACUGGUUCCAUUUGGCUUUCCAGGCAGUCACUACCGUAAGGCCAGCGACAUUUGCAUCGCCCGUGGUGUUGGAGCAGCUCAGCGUCCAAGUCACCUGUCUCAAAGCCCUGGACAGGGAUCCCUCCCCUUGCCCAUCUCUCAGAUGAUGUCCUUUUGGUUUUGGCUGGAGCUGGAGGUGCCUGUACAGCCCUCUGCCCUUGGGACACAGACACCGCCCCACGGCCAGGCCCUCCGUGGCACCAACCUGGCCAUGGCAGGUGGGGACAACCAAGAAAUACGGCUGCAAGGACCCACCUCAGAAGUUCAACCAACACCAGAGAAGCCCCCGCAAGGGACACUUUGAGCUCCUGAUGUCUUAAGGCUUGAGGACAGUAUGGUGGCACCCUCAUCUGGUGAGCUUCUCUUCAGUUUUCUUCUUUCAUUAGCAAAUUUUCUCCUAGCAAAAUUCUGCCAAAAAAGCCAGCCAUCCCAAACACUGGGAACACUCACAUGAUAUUUGCAGCUGACCACAUCCUCCUCAAUCUUUCUUCAUCUUGGCACACUCAGCUUAUGAGCUUGCAGAGAACAAUUCACCCCUUGCUCAAUGGGACUUGAAUUCAACCAUCAGUCCCAAGCACUUCGCUAAAAAUUGGGCACAAUUUGUGAAAACCUAAUAUGGUGUUAAAAACCCAAGAUGUUCUGAUGAUGCCUGACUAAUGAAUGUGUGGUGGCUAAAAACAGCUAACGAGGCAUGACCAUGUUAGUCCUACAGAAAUCAUAGUGAUUAAUCACACAACCAGAUGAGAAGACAUAAUGAGAAGGCAAUGGACAUCUUGGACAUCUUCACAGAAGUCUCAGAUGUCUUCCUGAAGGAUAAUUCACACAGAACACAGGAUUACUGAGCUUCAUGCGCUGAACUGCAUGGAGGUUUUUGAUCUGUACCACAUGGGGUUAGAUUAGAAAAGACAUUAAAUGUAUACAGGCUCUUCAAAUUGCAGGAAAACUUUUCCUUGAUCACAAAAGAAGAUAUGAAUCAAAGCGAUUUCCUUAAGGAAAAUCUCAAAGUUUGGGGUUUUGACAGUGCCCCCAAAUACAAUUAGGAUGUGGUGAACCUUGUUUUGCUCUUGAAUUCACCUGUAUCAACUGAAAUUGAAAAUGGAAACACUACAGCAGCUUCCUGCACAUCUUUUUCAGCCUGGAUUUCAUUAAUAUCUUCCCCAAGCUGGGAUUAUUUUGCUCAUGUACAGUGUUCAAAUCUGUUCGGGCUUUGUUUGAAAGCGGAAAAACACUCCUAAUGUAUAACCUAAUAGAAAAUGAUAGUGUUCAACAGCUUUUUUUUUUUUUAAUAACUAUUAAAAUUUAAUAUAUAAUCAUAUCCCACUAUGGAAUUCUGCAAGAGUGUUAAAAAUAACCCAACAGGAAGCAUAAAAGCUCUUAUUAAAUUCUACAAUAUUUACAGUAAUUUCUGCAUAGGAGUCUAUUAAAUUUCCAUAGCACGCUCAGUCCCAUUUCUACCGAGUUCCAUAGA